Molecule: ribosomal RNA, 440 nt
Filed under: uncultured bacterium
Lineage: Bacteria
Description: partial 16S ribosomal RNA
Rfam family: Bacterial small subunit ribosomal RNA
Source: RNAcentral
CCUACGGGAGGCAGCAGUGGGGAAUAUUGCACAAUGGGGGGAACCCUGAUGCAGCAACGCCGCGUGGGUGAAGAAGUACUCCGGUAUGUAAAGCUCUAUCAGCAGGGAAGAAAAUGACGGUACCUGAGUAAGAAGCCCCGGCUAACUACGUGCCAGCAGCCGCGGUAAUACGUAGGGGGCAAGCGUUAUCCGGAUUUACUGGGUGUAAAGGGAGCGUAGACGGCAGUGCAAGUCUGGAGUGAAAGGCGGGGGCUCAACCCCCGGACUGCUCUGGAAACUGUACGGCUGGAGUGCAGGAGAGGUAAGUGGAAUUCCUAGUGUAGCGGUGAAAUGCGUAGAUAUUAGGAGGAACACCAGUGGCGAAGGCGGCUUACUGGACUGUAACUGACGUUGAGGCUCGAAAGCGUGGGGAGCAAACAGGAUUAGAUACCCGAGUAGUC